This 471-nucleotide ribosomal RNA is filed under the name uncultured bacterium. RNAcentral's name for it is "partial 16S ribosomal RNA". It matches the Rfam family "Bacterial small subunit ribosomal RNA", at positions 28 to 507 of the family's 1533-position model. The record is from RNAcentral.
GACGAACGCUGGCGGCGUGCUUAACACAUGCAAGUCGAACGGAAAGGCCCUGCUUGCAGGGUGCUCGAGUGGCGAACGGGUGAGUAACACGUGGGUGAUCUGCCCCUUACUUUGGGAUAAGCCUGUUAAACUGGGUCUAAUACUGGAUAGGACCAUGCUUUAGGUGGUGUGGUGGAAAGAUUUUUUCGGUAAUGGAUGAGCUCGCGGCCUAUCAGCUUGUUGGUGGGGUAAUGGCCUACCAAGGCGUCGACGGGUAGCCGGCCUGAGAGGGUGGACGGCCACAUUGGGACUGAGACACGGCCAAGACUCCGACGGGAGGCAGCAGUGGGGAAGAGUGCACAAGGGGAGCAAGCCUGAUGCAGCGACGCCGCGGGGGGGAUGGCGGAAUUCGGGUUGUAAACUCCUUUCAGCCAUGACGAAGCCUCUUUUGGGGUGACGGUAGUGGGAGAAGAAGCACCGGCUAACUACGUG